RNAcentral lists this ribosomal RNA (497 nucleotides) under uncultured bacterium. Its description in RNAcentral is "partial 16S ribosomal RNA". It matches the Rfam family "Bacterial small subunit ribosomal RNA", at positions 28 to 507 of the family's 1533-position model. The record is from RNAcentral.
GAUGAACGCUGGCGGCGUGCCUAAUACAUGCAAGUCGAGCGAACAGAUAAGGAGCUUGCUCCUUUGACGUUAGCGGCGGACGGGUGAGUAACACGUGGGUAACCUACCUAUAAGACUGGGAUAACUUCGGGAAACCGGAGCUAAUACCGGAUAAUAUUUCGAACCGCAUGGUUCGAUAGUGAAAGAUGGUUUUGCUAUCACUUAUAGAUGGACCCGCGCCGUAUUAGCUAGUUGGUAAGGUAACGGCUUACCAAGGCGACGAUACGUAGCCGACCUGAGAGGGUGAUCGGCCACACUGGAACUGAGACACGGUCCAGACUCCUACGGGAGGCAGAAGUAGGGAAUCUUCCGCAAUGGGCGAAAGCCUGACGGAGCAACGCCGCGUGAGUGAUGAAGGUCUUCGGAUCGUAAAACUCUGUUAUUAGGGAAGAACAUACGUGUAAGUAACUGUGCACGUCUUGACGGUACCUAAUCAGAAAGCAACGGCUAACUACGUG